UACGUAGGGGGCAAGCGUUGUCCGGAUUUAUUGGGCGUAAAGAGCGUGUAGGCGGUUUGUCGCGUCUGCUGUGAAAACUGGAGGCUCAACCUCCAGCCUGCAGUGGGUACGGGCAGACUAGAGUGCGGUAGGGGAGAUUGGAAUUCCUGGUGUAGCGGUGGAAUGCGCAGAUAUCAGGAGGAACACCGAUGGCGAAGGCAGAUCUCUGGGCAGUAACUGACGCUGAGGAGCGAAAGCGUGGGGAGCGAACAGG
This 253-nucleotide ribosomal RNA is filed under the name uncultured bacterium. RNAcentral's name for it is "partial 16S ribosomal RNA". It matches the Rfam family "Bacterial small subunit ribosomal RNA", at positions 524 to 776 of the family's 1533-position model. The record is from RNAcentral.